UUACUAUGGUGAAAUAUAUAUAACAAAAUUUAGUUUUAACUGUUCUUAAGUGUACAGUGCUAAUUAACAAUGUUCAGUGUGUUGUACAACCAUUCUUGAAUUUUUCCAUCAACCCUGGCAUAAAUUCUGUACCUUUUAAAUAAUAACACUCCUCUUCCCCUUUCCCUCAGCCCCUGGUAACCACUGUUCUACUUUCUAUGAAUUUUCCUAGGAAUUUGCUUUUUUAAAGCUACUAUACUGGUCUGUGCUUCAUAAUCAGCAGCAAGAAAAAAUUCUCAGUGCUUUUGGAUCUUGUCUCAUUUGUUGAACAUUCUGGUAGGCAAGGGGUAAGGGAGGGACCUCAGAAUUGCUUUGAGGUUUGCUGAAAAAUAUGCCAACUUCAGUUUAUUGAUACCCUUAGUAUUGCUAAUAGGGUUUUCUCUUUGUUUUGUAGGACUUGGAUGUUGUUGGUGAUGGUAUGCAGUGCCCUCCUUCACCCUUGCUUUUUGAUCCUUCAUUAACCCUUGAAGAUCAUUCAAUCAAAGAAAUUGCUGAAGGCCCAGUGGAUAUCUUGGCAAGUGAAGAACAAUCCCAGUUAGCCUUCCAUCAUAUAGUGACCUGGUCAGGCAAAGCGAUCCUUGUUUGCUAACAUGUACUCCAGGGAGUGUGGGUCUCAUCACAAGUAGAGUAUAAAGAUGCCUGCCCCCAAAUAGCUUUUGUUUAAUGAAUACCAUACAAGGAAGGUAUUUUUAAUAAAUGUCAUUUUGAGGCUGGGUGUAGCUCAGUCACAUAUUAUAUUCCUUAUAAUAUGUGAGGCCCUGGGUUUCAUCCCCAGAACUGCAAAUGAAUAAAUGAGAGAAUGAAAGAAGCCUUUUUCUGCUUCUUAGUGCCAUUUUGCUCCAAUUUUCUAGAUGGACCUUAGAAUAAUGGUCCCUAGUUUUCAUAUUGAGGGUAGGACAUAAAUUUUUUUAAAUGAAAGGUUAAGACAAGAAAUGUAAGUAAAUUUUUUUCUUUUUUUUUUUUUUUUUUUGAUACUGGAGAUUGAACCCAGGCGUGCUCUGACCUACAUCCCAGAUUUUAUUUUGAGAUAGGGUUUUGCUAAAGUUGCUAAGAUUAACCUCGAACUUGGGAUCCUACUGCUUCAGCCUUCCAAGUUACAGAUGUGCACAACUAUGCUUGGCUAAAUUGUGCCGUUUAAGGGAGAGUUCAUUACUGGAAUUAUUCUCAUUGCAGAAUAAGCACCAGUAGUGUGAUUUGGCUUCUUUCUCUGAGGUUGGAUACCAGUGGCCCUGACUGAAGACCAGCAGUUACACUAUAGCUGUUGGUUUCAAGCAGAGGCCUAAAAAACUUAUCUUCUAUGGUUCAUUGGCUGUUCUGGGACCUUAGUCGAGAAUGGCUGUUUCAUUUGGAAGAAACAAUCCACGGUUGUCUCUUCCAUUGGGAGAGCUUCAAGAAUGCCAAGUAAUGAUUUCAGACUCUUUAAGAUUAGGCAGUAUUGGGAAGAGCAGCUCCCAGAGUUGUUUUAAUGUACUGAAUAUAAAUGGGAAUUGAUAGAUUCAUAAUUAAGGUUUCAGAGCAUCGAGAAUGAUUUUUUUUCCUUCAUGAGACUUAAAUUUUUUUUUUAAUUUUAUGUGUUCUUCUUAGAUAUACAUGACAGUAGAAUGUAUUUUGACAUAUUAUACAUACAUGGAGUAUAACUUACUCUAAGUAGGAUACAAUUUUUGUGGUUGAACAUGAUGUGGAGUUAGUUAUUUCUGUUUGUGUAUUCGUAUGUGAACAUAGGGAAUUUAUAUCUGAUUCAUUCUCCUGUCAUUCCUGAUUCCCCUCCCCAUCCUCCCUUCCAGUGAAUGCUUUACUAAUCAAAGUACCUUUAUUUCUUUAAUAGGGCCAGAUGCAGAUGGUUGGAGAUGGUUACAGGUCCCAGGGAUCUCGAAAUUCUGAGAAAGCCUGUGCACCAUUGCUUCAAAGUGGAUUGGCUACUGCAAAUGGAAAACCAGAAUCCACUCCUAGCAGUUGAUAGUUUGUUCUGGGAACCAUAUGACUUCCGUGGAUUUCACUUUCCCAUUCUUCAAACAAGUAUCUCUGAUCAUCUCUCACUAAACAGGGGCAACCCAGUUGUUUUGUUCUGGGUUAUAGAAUGUCGUAGUUAAAUAAAACCAUACUUAGGGGGAUGGGCCAGUAGUGUCAAAGUUGUGUUUCUUUCUACCAUGGGCAAGGAAGAUAGGGAUUACCUAUCUCUGAAAUUCAGUAUUUGGGACUGUGCCAAAGGGGAAAGUGAUUCUUUGUAAUGGGAUUUCUUAAGUCACAGAUAGAAAUCCACAUAGAUGAUUAGGUGAGGGUUGUUUUUAUAAAUGGUGCCGUUGAGAUAUUGGUUGCCCCAGUGCCUGGUUAUCUUUACCUAAAGGCCUACAGUUUAGCUUUUCCUCAUCUUCACUUAAUUGAACAGUUUGCACCCUUUCUCCAGUGAACUCCCAUCCUUAUCCUGAGACAGUUAAGGACUGGGCCCACCUUAACUAUUCAUCUUGCUUGUAAUCUAUGUAAAUUUCUGCAGUGGCUAUCUUAUGUAAAAUAUAGUAA
RNAcentral lists this long non-coding RNA (2556 nucleotides) under Marmota monax (woodchuck). Lineage: Eukaryota; Metazoa; Chordata; Mammalia; Rodentia; Sciuridae. The record is from RNAcentral.